This 406-nucleotide ribosomal RNA is filed under the name uncultured bacterium. RNAcentral describes it as "partial 16S ribosomal RNA". It matches the Rfam family "Bacterial small subunit ribosomal RNA", at positions 29 to 526 of the family's 1533-position model. The record is from RNAcentral.
AUUGAACGCUGGCGGCAGGCCUAACACAUGCAAGUCGAGCGAGCGGCGGACGGGUGAGUCAUGCCUCGGAAUCUGCCUGGUCGUGGGGGAUAACGUCCGUAAACGGGCGCUCAUACCGCAUACUCUCAGAUUCGCCUAGGGCGGAUUAGCUAGUUGGUGGGGGAAAGGCCUACCACGGCGACGAUCCCUAGCUGGUGUGAGAGGAUGACCAGCAACACUGGAACUGAGACACGGACCAGACUCGUACGGGAGGCAGCAGGGGGGAAUAUUGCACAAUGGGCGCAAGCCUGAUGCAGCCAUGCCGCGUGUAUGAAGAAGGCCUUCGGGUUGUAAAGUACUUUCAGCGGGGAGGCGUUACCCGCAGAAGAAGCACCGGCUAACUCCGGGCCAGCAGCCGCGGUAAUAG